This 730-nucleotide ribosomal RNA is filed under the name uncultured Actinomycetes bacterium. RNAcentral describes it as "bacterial SSU rRNA". It matches the Rfam family "Bacterial small subunit ribosomal RNA", at positions 549 to 1276 of the family's 1533-position model. Lineage: Bacteria; Bacillati; Actinomycetota; Actinomycetes. The record is from RNAcentral.
AAUUAUUGGGCGUAAAGAGCUCGUAGGCGGUUUGUCGCGUCUAUCGUGAAAGUCCGAGGCUCAACCUCGGAUCUGCGGUGGGUACGGGCAGACUAGAGUGAUGUAGGGGAGACUGGAAUUCCUGGUGUAGCGGUGAAAUGCGCAGAUAUCAGGAGGAACACCGAUGGCGAAGGCAGGUCUCUGGGCAUUAACUGACGCUGAGGAGCGAAAGCAUGGGGAGCGAACAGGAUUAGAUACCCUGGUAGUCCAUGCCGUAAACGUUGGGCACUAGGUGUGGGGGACAUUCCACGUUUUCCGCGCCGUAGCUAACGCAUUAAGUGCCCCGCCUGGGGAGUACGGCCGCAAGGCUAAAACUCAAAGGAAUUGACGGGGGCCCGCACAAGCGGCGGAGCAUGCGGAUUAAUUCGAUGCAACGCGAAGAACCUUACCAAGGCUUGACAUGUGCCAGACCGCCGUGGAAACACGGUUUCCCCUUUGGGGCUGGUUCACAGGUGGUGCGUGGUUGUCGUCAGCUCGUGUCGUGAGAUGUUGGGUUAAGUCCCGCAACGAGCGCAACCCUCGUUCUAUGUUGCCAGCACGUGAUGGUGGGGACUCAUAGGAGACUGCCGGGGUCAACUCGGAGGAAGGUGGGGACGACGUCAAAUCAUCAUGCCCCUUAUGUCUUGGGCUUCACGCAUGCUACAAUGGCCGGUACAAUGGGUUGCGAUACUGUGAGGUGGAGCUAAUCCCA